This 492-nucleotide ribosomal RNA is filed under the name uncultured bacterium. Its description in RNAcentral is "partial 16S ribosomal RNA". It matches the Rfam family "Bacterial small subunit ribosomal RNA", at positions 29 to 507 of the family's 1533-position model. The record is from RNAcentral.
AGUGAACGCUGGCGGUAGGCCUAACACAUGCAAGUCGAACGGCAGCACAGUAAGAGCUUGCUCUUACGGGUGGCGAGUGGCGGACGGGUGAGGAAUACAUCGGAAUCUACUUUUUCGUGGGGGAUAACGUAGGGAAACUUACGCUAAUACCGCAUACGACCUACGGGUGAAAGCAGGGGAUCUUCGGACCUUGCGCGAUUGAAUGAGCCGAUGUCGGAUUAGCUAGUUGGCGGGGUAAAGGCCCACCAAGGCGACGAUCCGUAGCUGGUCUGAGAGGAUGAUCAGCCAGACUGGAACAUAGUCACGGUCCAGACGCCUACGGGAGGCAGCCGUGGGGAAUGUUUGACAAUGGGCGCAAGGCUGAACCAGCCAUACCGCGUGAAUGAAAAAGGCCUUCUUGUUGUCAAGCCCUUUUGUUGGGAAAGAAAAGCAGCAGGUGAAUACCCCGCUGUUCUGACGGUACCCAAAGAAUAAGCACCGGCUAACUUCGUG